CCUACGGGAGGCAGCAGGCGCGAAACCUUUACAAUGCGGGCAACCGUGAUAAGGGAACCUCGAGUGCCUGUAAACGCAGGCUGUUCAGGUGUUUAAAACGCACCUGGAGAAAGGGCCGGGCAAGACCGGUGCCAGCCGCCGCGGUAAUACCGGCGGCCCGAGUGGUGGCCGCUUUUAUUGGGCUUAAAGCGUUCGUAGCUGGGUUGUUAAGUCUCUUGGGAAAUCUGGCGGCUUAACCGUCAGGCGUCUAAUGGAUACUGGCAAUCUUGGAACCGGGAGAGGUGAGGGGUACUUCGGGGGUAGGGGUGAAAUCCAGGAAUCCUCGAGGGACCACCUGUGGCGAAGGCGCCUCACCAUAACGGCUUCGACAGUGAGGGACGAAAGCUGGGUGAGCAAACCGGAUUAGAUACCCUUGUAGUC
Molecule: ribosomal RNA, 420 nt
Filed under: uncultured Methanoculleus sp.
Lineage: Archaea; Methanobacteriati; Methanobacteriota; Methanomicrobia; Methanomicrobiales; Methanomicrobiaceae
Description: bacterial SSU rRNA
Rfam family: Archaeal small subunit ribosomal RNA
Source: RNAcentral